GACGAACGCUGGCGGCGUGCCUAACACAUGCAAGUCGAGCGAGUGAAUCUCCUUCGGGAGUGAAACUAGCGGCGGACGGGUGAGUAACACGUGGGCAACCUGCCUCAUAGAGGGGAAUAGCCUUUCGAAAGGAAGAUUAAUACCGCAUAAGAUUGUAGCUUCGCAUGAAGUAGCAAUUAAAGGAGUAAUCCGCUAUGAGAUGGGCCCGCGGCGCAUUAGCUAGUUGGUGAGGUAACGGCCCACCAAGGCGACGAUGCGUAGCCGACCUGAGAGGGUGAUCGGCCACACUGGGACUGAGACACGUCGCAGACAUCUCCGGGGGGCAGCAGUGGGGAAUAUUGCACAAUGGGGGAAACCCUGAUGCAGCAACGCCGCGUGAGUGAUGACGGCCUUCGGGUUGUAAAGCUCUGUCUUCAGGGAUGAUAAUGACGGUACCUGAGGAGGAAGCCACGGCUAACUACGUGCCAGCCGCCGCAGUAA
This 480-nucleotide ribosomal RNA is filed under the name uncultured bacterium. RNAcentral's name for it is "partial 16S ribosomal RNA". It matches the Rfam family "Bacterial small subunit ribosomal RNA", at positions 28 to 523 of the family's 1533-position model. The record is from RNAcentral.